RNAcentral lists this ribosomal RNA (253 nucleotides) under uncultured bacterium. RNAcentral describes it as "partial 16S ribosomal RNA". It matches the Rfam family "Bacterial small subunit ribosomal RNA", at positions 524 to 776 of the family's 1533-position model. The record is from RNAcentral.
UACGUAGGGUGCGAGCGUUGUCCGGAAUUAUUGGGCGUAAAGGGCUCGUAGGCGGUCUGUUGCGUCGGGAGUGAAAACUCAGGGCUUAACCCUGAGCCUGCUUCCGAUACGGGCAGACUAGAGGUAUGCAGGGGAGAACGGAAUUCCUGGUGUAGCGGUGAAAUGCGCAGAUAUCAGGAGGAACACCGGUGGCGAAGGCGGGUCUCUGGGCCGUAACUGACGCUGAGGAGCGAAAGCGUGGGGAGCGAACAGG